This 331-nucleotide unclassified non-coding RNA is filed under the name soil metagenome. Its description in RNAcentral is "partial contains 5.8S ribosomal RNA, internal transcribed spacer 2, and large subunit ribosomal RNA". The stretch from base 1 to 120 matches the Rfam family "5.8S ribosomal RNA", at positions 35 to 154 of the family's 154-position model. The record is from RNAcentral.
GAUGAAGAACGCAGCGAAAUGCGAUAAGUAAUGUGAAUUGCAGAAUUCAGUGAAUCAUCGAAUCUUUGAACGCACAUUGCGCCCCCUGGUAUUCCGGGGGGCAUGCCUGUUCGAGCGUCAUUUCACCACUCAAGCCUCGCUUGGUAUUGGGCAACGCGGUCCGCCGCGUGCCUCAAAUCGUCCGGCUGGGUCUUCUGUCCCCUAAGCGUUGUGGAAACUAUUCGCUAAAGGGUGUUCGGGAGGCUACGCCGUAAAACAACCCCAUUUCUAAGGUUGACCUCGGAUCAGGUAGGGAUACCCGCUGAACUUAAGCAUAUCAAUAAGCGGAAGA